RNAcentral lists this ribosomal RNA (253 nucleotides) under uncultured Clostridiales Family III bacterium. RNAcentral's name for it is "partial 16S ribosomal RNA". It matches the Rfam family "Bacterial small subunit ribosomal RNA", at positions 524 to 776 of the family's 1533-position model. The record is from RNAcentral. Lineage: Bacteria; Bacillati; Bacillota; Clostridia; Eubacteriales; Eubacteriales Family III. Incertae Sedis.
UACGUAGGUGGCAAGCGUUGUCCGGAAUUACUGGGUGUAAAGGGCGUGUAGGCGGGAAUGUAAGUCAGAUGUGAAAUCCCAGAGCUUAACUCUGGAGCUGCAUCUGAAACUAUGUUUCUUGAGUGUCGGAGAGGAAAGCGGAAUUCCUAGUGUAGCGGUGAAAUGCGUAGAUAUUAGGAGGAACACCAGUGGCGAAGGCGGCUUUCUGGACGAUAACUGACGCUGAGGCGCGAAAGCGUGGGGAGCAAACAGG